This 253-nucleotide ribosomal RNA is filed under the name bacterium. RNAcentral describes it as "partial 16S ribosomal RNA". It matches the Rfam family "Bacterial small subunit ribosomal RNA", at positions 524 to 776 of the family's 1533-position model. RNAcentral also lists the same sequence under 4 other names. The record is from RNAcentral.
UACGUAGGGUGCAAGCGUUAAUCGGAAUUACUGGGCGUAAAGCGUGCGCAGGCGGUUCGGAAAGAAAGAUGUGAAAUCCCAGAGCUUAACUUUGGAACUGCAUUUUUAACUACCGAGCUAGAGUGUGUCAGAGGGAGGUGGAAUUCCGCGUGUAGCAGUGAAAUGCGUAGAUAUGCGGAGGAACACCGAUGGCGAAGGCAGCCUCCUGGGAUAACACUGACGCUCAUGCACGAAAGCGUGGGGAGCAAACAGG